Prosopis cineraria is the source of this 3885-nucleotide long non-coding RNA. RefSeq lists it as uncharacterized. The record is from RefSeq and is a predicted model, not a curated record. The transcript has 3 exons. Lineage: Eukaryota; Viridiplantae; Streptophyta; Magnoliopsida; Fabales; Fabaceae.
UCAAAGACAGUCUUCCAGAGAAUAGUGCACUGCCACAACAAAAGAGGGGGGAGAGAGAGAGUGCUCAAAGGGGCAAUGCCAACCCCACAUCUUCUCUCAACCAUCUUCUCUCCCUCCCUCCCUCUUUCACAUUAUUACAGUACUUGCACAGUAUAUCUCGGUUGGAUUUUAUUCAUAUGUGGCUGUGAUAAAGGUCUCUUUCAUUCAGCCCACGAUGAUAGUGAGUGUAUGUAUGAGAAGGACGAGAAAAAUGGGAAAACAAAUAUAUAUAUUGUUCUUUUUGUUUUCUGAUUUCUGAUAUACACAGUUAGUGUCUGUAUACAUGUUUCUGGUUUAUAAGUUGGGGAAAUUUGGCUGUCAAAAGAAUUCUUUGUUAUAGUUGAUCUCUUUUGGAAAUAUAAUGCUUUUCCAGAUUUGUGUGGAUACAUGUGAGAUCUUCAAUCGCUUUCUUUUCCUUCUCUGACUCUCAUGAAGACAGUGACACCUUCUCUCUCUUAAUUCUUCCCCCCUCUCUCUCUGCGCUUCUUCCUCCGACCUUCCUCACCUUUCAUUUUCCAAAAUUUAUUACUUGUGUGCUCCUUUUCUUUUGGUCUUCUGAUUCAUAUAUAUCUUCUUUACCCUUAUUUCCUAUGGCGUAUUUUGCUUUGGUUUCCUCUUCUUUCAGCUACUGCUUGUGAUCAUCGUCGUUUAGUCCAAGCGUCUUCGACCGUGACAACCAAAAAGCAGUAAGAAAUAUAGUUAAUUUGAUUUGAUUUAUAGAGUAAUUUUAGCUAGUUGAACAACCUAAAUUUGACCCCUUUCAUUUUCUGCUUAUUAUCAUCACAUUAUUACACCUGUGUUUUGAUCAAAGAAAUAUUCAGCAUGUCUGUUUUUAUAUCUGCAAUAUAUGUUUUACAACCAGUGUAUUUUUAUUAGCUUGCUCCAAGACCUAGGGCUAGGGUUAUUGUACAAAUCGCCGUUCAACGUUGUAGUUUCAGUAGUAUAAUUGAAACGGUGUGGUCGGGAAUUGGUGCCGUUUUGGUCAAAAUCUUGUUUGUCAUCUAGGAAUACAGUUAGUUGAAAAGCCUAUUUCGUUAUAAUUUUGAAACGGAAAUAUUAGAUUUGAGGUUAAUUAAUUGUUGCAUGCUCUGAUUCAAAUUAUCUGCAUAUAGUAAAUCGAUGUUUAUCUGCAAAACUUGGUCUUUUAUGAAUUGGAAUUGGUUUAAUCUUCUUGUGUGUGUGUGUGUGAAGCUAGUGUCCUGUAAGUGUAUAUAUAUAUGGUUGGAUUGGAUUAAUUGAGGGUUAAGUGAGGAAUUAAGAGUUUAAGAGAGCUUCCUUCAGUCCACUCAUGGAAGGGUAAAGGGUUUGAAUUAGCUGCUGACUCAUUCAUUCAAACACAAUAGAACAGGUUUCAUCAUUACAUGCUAUUGUGAAUGUGUGAAUGAUGCGGGAGGUAAAUUUCACCCUUUUCUUGUCUGUGCUUGGACUGAAGGGAGCUCCCUGUCACUGUUUCUUUCUUUCCCCCCUUUAAUUGUGAAUUUCACGGAGACUGAUGAAUGAACUCGAUUGUACUGAUCGGUUCAUGGCAUACGAGCAGUGUGACUUGUUAUAAGUUUUUUAUCUGAUGUUCAUGAUAGAUGCUUUCCCUCUUUUAAUGCUGCAAUCUCUUCCUCACAUAUGGCUCAUUUGGUAUACCUCUUAUAUCAGAAGGACGUUAAUUUCAUUGCACACUAAGUCUAUCUUUAUUAUAUCAUAAUUUACUCAGUGAUCAUUUAGUUUCUGUUUUCAUCUAGAGAUGACCGUGAGUGUCAAUAGUGAUCCACAUUUUUAGUUGACUUAUAUUAACACUGAAAAAAAUUACAGUUGUUAUGUAGUAAAAUCCUCGAUUCAUGUGUGUGGCAUGCACGCGCAGAUUGGUGAACUUAUGUUUGAGCCUACACUAGUGUAUACUGACAUGCUUGAUUGAUGAUGAUUUAAUUUGAGUGGUCUAAUUUACCAUCUCUGUACAAGAUUAACAUUUUACAUUGAUGUAAUCUUUUAAUUGCCAUUAUGAGGAUCAUUGGAGUAGAGCUUGGUUAAUAUUUAUCAAUUUUCAAUCUAUAUAUUUGCAUAAUGUACAAAAUUAAACUUUGAUUGGUUUAAAUUAUCUUGCUGAUCCUUGAACAUGAAUGCUUCUUUUAUCAUUGUCUUUAGUCAUCCAUAAAACUGUGUGCAACUGGCAUGCAUCUCAUGUAUACAAAUUGAAUGAUUAUAAGACUUUUGAUGUUUUUUGUUUCUGGAAUGACUUUAUUGGUAGUUUUUCUAGGACAUGUUUUGGCAGGGCUUUACUGUUGGUACUCGAUGAAUCAAAACCACUCUUAACAAUAUACAUCACAACAAGCCGGUACUAAUAAGCUCCUGAGGCUAAAGAUAAGCUGUUCAAAAGGCUAUACAAACCCUAUAAUUCUUGUCCACUGUGAUGGGGUUUGAGGCAGUAGUUGGAACUUGAAGCUACAAGGGCUUGUUCUAAAUCAGUCAUGCAAGUUGGGCUCAGCUUGCGAUCAACAGCUUCUGCUACUUAACGCAGACUAGUCCAAGGUUCUGCUUAGUUCAAGUACACGUGUAAUAUUGAUCUCAUUUAGUGCGGUAAGCUGGUAUAGAUCUCAAUUCGUGAAUUUCUGGGCAUUUCAAUGAUAGUUUACAUACAAGCUGGACCCCAUGAUAGCUUCGGAGUGUAGGUGUUGGUGUGUGUCUCUGUGAAUGUGAGACUGAGUGUGUCUGUCCAGCUUUCUCAGGCUAUAUACUAUCUGGCAAGCAAGUUCAAUACGCAUGGUGGUCCCUGCUGGUUUGAAGUUUUUAUGAGUAUGGUUGGCCAGAAGUGAGGUUAAAGGCCGCUUCAUGUCCUCCUUGAAGCAUGCAUGAAUUAUGAGUGUUGCUGCAGAUUGGUCUCAGAAAACAAACCCAGAAAGCGCCACUUCUCUCACACAUAAAACUGACCUGAAAACAAUCAAUGACUAUGGGAUGGGGAAUUGACCGAUGAUCAGAGAGACAUUUCAAGACAUAGGAAAACUGAAAGGAACAGAUAAUAAUCUUCCUAUAUUGAAAAAGCAUUAAUAUGCAUGUUGUUUCAACAUUGCAAGCUUUCUGAUGAACUUUUAAGUUCCUUCUGUAUGCUGUACAAUAUAUAGUAAUAAUGUCAUCUUGUUUUCUUCAGAUGAUGAAUCUAUUGAUCUGUCAUUUGGCUGAGUUCUUUUCUGAUACUCAAUGUUCUGCAAUAUAUGAAGAUUUGAAAUUUGACGACGAUGGUGACAUCUCUGAUCACAAAACAAAGAGCUGGUCUGAGCUGGACCACACAUAUAAACACUCCUAGUUUUGUGGUCCAAACAAACUGGAUAUAGAUAGCAACUGGGCAUGCAGUGGUAGUCAGUGACACUCUGAUACAACAUGUUGUACACCCCUCCUCCCCAACAGACAGACAAAUACAUGUAUGUAUCUGUAUAUGUGUGUGUAUAUAUGUACAUACAUACUCGUAGUUGCUGGAGAUUGCCUGUCUGGUGUUAUUUUAAAAGUGUGUUUUUCAUUUCACUGAGAGUUGAGAUAUGUCAGUGUCUUGUGUGUGUGUGUGUUUGUGUGUUGUUUGUUGAUGUUAGUGUGAAAAUGGCGAGUAUCAUUGGAGAUUGAGAAUCUCUAUCAGGAAUAGUGCCAGACAGGAACUAAUGAUGAUGGUGGUGGAAGGAGGAGACAUGAUGGCUUGUGAUAUUAUUUGCUUGAAGCUGAUGAGGUGGAUCUCACUACCACUGGUAUUCUACUUUCUGUCCGGUGUGCACACAUGAAGCUCUUGUUAUUUCAAUACUGAUCACUGUGUCUUUUCAUGCUUCUUCUCCCCCCAAUUUAUUUGAUUAUUAAUGAUAAUUAUUAAUAUCUUUA